Molecule: ribosomal RNA, 493 nt
Filed under: uncultured Verrucomicrobiota bacterium
Lineage: Bacteria; Pseudomonadati; Verrucomicrobiota
Description: bacterial SSU rRNA
Rfam family: Bacterial small subunit ribosomal RNA
Source: RNAcentral
UCGAGAAUUUUUCUCAAUGGGGGAAACCCUGAAGGAGCGACGCCGCGUGGAGGAUGAAGGUCUUCGGAUUGUAAACUCCUGUCAUUUGGGAACAAUUGUCACCGAUUAACUGUCGGGGGCUUGAUAGUACCAGAAGAGGAAGAGACGGCUAACUCUGUGCCAGCAGCCGCGGUAAUACAGAGGUCUCAAGCGUUGUUCGGAUUCAUUGGGCGUAAAGGGUGCGUAGGUGGCGGGGUAAGUCUGGUGUGAAAUCUCGGGGCUCAACCCCGAAACUGCACUGGAUACUGCCUUGCUCGAGUACUGGAGAGGAGAUUGGAAUUUACGGUGUAGCAGUGAAAUGCGUAGAUAUCGUAAGGAAGACCAGUGGCGAAGGCGAAUCUCUGGACAGUUACUGACACUGAGGCACGAAGGCCAGGGGAGCAAACGGGAUUAGAUACCCCGGUAGUCCUGGCAGUAAACGGUGCGCGUUUGGUGUGGGAGGAUUCGACCCCUU